RNAcentral lists this ribosomal RNA (586 nucleotides) under uncultured Bacilli bacterium. Its description in RNAcentral is "bacterial SSU rRNA". It matches the Rfam family "Bacterial small subunit ribosomal RNA", at positions 48 to 615 of the family's 1533-position model. Lineage: Bacteria; Bacillati; Bacillota; Bacilli. The record is from RNAcentral.
CUAAUACAUGCAAGUCGAGCGGACCGACGGGAGCUUGCUCCCUUAGGUCAGCGGCGGACGGGUGAGUAACACGUGGGUAACCUGCCUGUAAGACUGGGAUAACUCCGGGAAACCGGGGCUAAUACCGGAUGCUUGAUUGAACCGCAUGGUUCAAUCAUAAAAGGUGGCUUUUAGCUACCACUUGCAGAUGGACCCGCGGCGCAUUAGCUAGUUGGUGAGGUAACGGCUCACCAAGGCGACGAUGCGUAGCCGACCUGAGAGGGUGAUCGGCCACACUGGGACUGAGACACGGCCCAGACUCCUACGGGAGGCAGCAGUAGGGAAUCUUCCGCAAUGGACGAAAGUCUGACGGAGCAACGCCGCGUGAGUGAUGAAGGUUUUCGGAUCGUAAAACUCUGUUGUUAGGGAAGAACAAGUACCGUUCGAAUAGGGCGGUACCUUGACGGUACCUAACCAGAAAGCCACGGCUAACUACGUGCCAGCAGCCGCGGUAAUACGUAGGUGGCAAGCGUUGUCCGGAAUUAUUGGGCGUAAAGCGCGCGCAGGCGGUUUCUUAAGUCUGAUGUGAAAGCCCCCGGCUCAACCG